Molecule: transfer RNA, 71 nt
Filed under: Rhyacophila kando
Lineage: Eukaryota; Metazoa; Arthropoda; Insecta; Trichoptera; Rhyacophilidae
Description: tRNA-Val
Source: RNAcentral
CAUAUUUAAACUUAAUUAGUAAAGUAGUUCUUUUACAUAGAAUCAAUAUUGUGCAAUUCAAUUUUAUAUGA